UCCAAUGAGAAAUGCCAAUUUUACGAU
This 27-nucleotide non-coding RNA is filed under the name Bombyx mori (domestic silkworm). The record is from RNAcentral. Lineage: Eukaryota; Metazoa; Arthropoda; Insecta; Lepidoptera; Bombycidae.